CCUACGGGGGGCAGCAGUGGGGAAUAUUGGACAAUGGGGGGAACCCUGAUCCAGCCAUGCCGCGUGUGUGAAGAAGGCCCUCGGGUUGUAAAGCACUUUCAGUGAGGAAGAACGCCUGGUGGUUAAUACCCAUCAGGAAAGACAUCACUCACAGAAGAAGCACCGGCUAACUCCGUGCCAGCAGCCGCGGUAAUACGGAGGGUGCGAGCGUUAAUCGGAAUUACUGGGCGUAAAGCGCGCGUAGGUGGCUUGAUAAGCCGGUUGUGAAAGCCCCGGGCUCAACCUGGGAACGGCAUCCGGAACUGUCAAGCUAGAGCGCAGGAGAGGAAGGUAGAACGCCCGGUGUAGCGGUGAAAUGCGUAGAGAUCGGGAGGAAUACCAGUGGCGAAGGCGGCCUUCUGGACUGACACUGACACUGAGGUGCGAAAGCGUGGGUAGCAAACAGGAUUAGAUACCCGUGUAGUC
This 465-nucleotide ribosomal RNA is filed under the name Vreelandella stevensii. RNAcentral's name for it is "partial 16S ribosomal RNA". It matches the Rfam family "Bacterial small subunit ribosomal RNA", at positions 338 to 795 of the family's 1533-position model. Lineage: Bacteria; Pseudomonadati; Pseudomonadota; Gammaproteobacteria; Oceanospirillales; Halomonadaceae. The record is from RNAcentral.